GGUUGUCCUGCCAUAAGUAGUAGAAAGUGCCCAGGAUCCAGGCUACGGUCAGGAUGGCGAUGGCAUUGGCGCGGAUCUUCCUCAUGCUCAGCGACCGAGCGCCCGCCGCCUGCCCCCGCGCGGCCCUAGUCGGUCCCGCCUACCUCCACGCACCCCCAGCCGGAGCGGCCCUGAGUCACGGCUGGAGAUGCGCGACCCCGGCCCGGGCCCGCGCCGCGAAGCUGCGGUUCUGGGCUGCGCUCGGAACUGCGCUCCGGCGCCGGGUUUAAGCAUGCAGGACUGAACCAUGCGUGUAAGAGAGGCUCAUUCCGUUUCUGUUGGAAUGAAGGAAAAUGAAGAAAGAAAAACCUAAUGAGUUCUUGCUGCAGAAGGAUCAUGGUCGCUACUGCAGUACCCUCUUCCUCAUUCCGAACAAGACCGCGAGGGUACGUCAACAAGUCCAGAAACAUCCACAUCGAGAAUAGGACCCUGGAAAGAGUGUACAAAGAGGGUCUCACAAAGACUAGCAGGGAAUCCGAGGCCCGAGGCAGGUGGAGGUCAAGAACAACAGGAGAUGCUAUGGAGAUGCCACUGGCCCUGGAGCCGUGGGCCAGCCUUGCUCUCCUGGGUGUCUCUUGCCUGGGAAGUUUAAUUAGACAGCUAGAGGGGCCAGGAUUCAUCUCCAUAGAGAAAACCACUGUCAAGCCAAGCCAUUCCUGGUUUCCUCAGGAAUCAUGAGGCUGAUCCAGGGGUCAUGCCCUCUGUAGGAAGCCAGGAAAAGCUUGCUGCCUAAGAGUCAAGCCCCACGGGCAUUCCCAAACCAUAAGAAAAUGUAAGGGAACUGCCCCCCUCGUGCCCCCACUUCCACACAGGCUCUUGGGUCAGCAGAGUGGAAAGACUUGGAGGAUGGCCCUCCCUUGCCACUGGCUGCUUCCCUCAGCCCAGCCUGGCCUGUGCCUAAUUGCCUUUAGUCUUGAGAAAACCAGGUGAGAGGAUGUGGGAUCCAAAGACAUUACAUCAACCCCUAGUGAGAAGCUCCAAACUCACGCCUAGGCAUGGGGGAUGAAGCUAGAAACUGCAGUCAGGCUGAUGGGGUUUCUGGUGGCUCUAGAAGGAGGGCUGUAUGAGGUGAGGGAGGGAAGGAAGAGGUGGAAUUUGGCAGGAUUUCCACAGGUCUCACCUCUUACUCCCCAGGGUUCAGUGGCGAGGAUGCUAUACUUCUGUAUCAGUUGUCACUCCCUGGUAGCUCUGUCUCUCUGGAAGAGAAGUCUGUCUGCGACCCCCCCCCCCCCAACACACACCCAUGUCACCACCACAAGAAAAACCCCACAGGGACAUAGCCUCUCUGAAUGACGUUAGACUUCAUAGCCAUCCCUCCCUCAGAUGGACACAGUAAACUUCCCGUGGCGGGGUAGGGGGUAAGGAGGCAGGUCACUACCAUGCUCAUUCAGCUGACAGAAAUCUGACCUAGGCAGAGGUUAAGCAAUGGGCCUGGAGCCACAGGCACAUUGGGAACUUGGGGCUGCCACCUCAGCUACAGCCCAAGGGAUUUGAAUCCUAAAUAGGUACAGAGCUGAAGCUCAGCCCUCCCCGAGAUGGAUCUCAGUGUUCAAUGAUGACAGGGGGCGUUGUUUCCUCCCUGGUCCUAGGAAUGGAGUCCCACAAAACCAGAGAAGCAAAGCAACACCUAAGAGACUUGGUGCUGCUCGGCACUCACUGAACCAGGGUGGUAAUAAUAGCUGAGGUUCACUGGGUACCCAGCAGGGGCCAGGUGCUGAACGGGCUCCCCACAUCCGCGAUCUCUGAAGCCCCGCAACCUGCAGACCCGGCCUUGGGGAUACUCUCGGUGGCAGUGGCCGAGAGCCACCCAGCAGGGAGGAGGCGGGGCUGGAUUCGAGUCUGUUCCCCCUGCCGGUAUCUGGUAUCUGGGCACCAGUACAGGGCUUCCAAGCACACUGGGCAGUCUGCAGGGUGGUCAGAAGUUCUGCAUGCAGGGAACUCCCCUCCCCACAGGAGCCUCCAUUUUCUCCUCUGGAAAAUGAGGGAUGCGGGGAGAUGACCUCCAAGGUCCCUCCAACUGUGCCCUUUAGGACCGCUAGUUCCUUGGGUAUUUUCUUCCAAAAUGUGGCACUGCUCCCCGCAUGGUUCUUCUCUUUCAAAGCUGUCAAAGCCAGCACUCAGGAGCCUCAACUGGGCAAAGCCAAGUGCUCCCCGUGCUCCCAGAGGCCCCGGGGAGCUCUCUGUCCCCGUGCAUUUGAUGUGUGGGUGGAUCAUAGAGGGGAGAAAGGCUGUGGAGUUCAGGCAAAACCCUGGCUCUGGACUUGGACAACCCGCAUUCAAAUGCUGGUUCUGUCCCUUAUUAGGAGAGUGGCUUGGGUGAAUUCUUACCCUCAGUUUCUUCACCUAUAAGGGGCAUUGACAGCCCUUAACUGACAGCACUGUUGGGAAAGGUAGGAAAUAAGGCACAGAAACUCCAGUGCUGGUAACCAUCCCCAUUCCAGACCCCCACCCCACCGCGCGCCUCUCACAGGCACUGCUGCUGGCUCCUGGCCAUGGGGCUCUAGAAAGGCCUGCCCAGGGCACAUGCAGGGGAAUGCUCACCAGGGCUGGGAAGGAGAACAGACCCUAGACAGGCCCAACAAGGAUAACUGUCUGCCACAUCGGGGCACGGCUGCCUGUGUCUCCACAGUCUGUGUUGAGCAGCCUGGAGGGGGCUGGGGAGAGGCAGCUGUGGGACCCCAGCUAUUGCUGGGUGUCCAUUCUUGCCAUCAUACCCAUUACCCUUGUGACUCGGUCAGCUUGGAAGCCUCUUGCCCUGUCUGCAGCUGCAGCAGGGACCCGGACGGUGGGUGAGGGGGACUUGUUAGACCACCAUGUCUGCUCUAAGCAGCAAAGGAGGCAGACAUGGUGAACAGAGCGUAUGUUACCAGGCAACAGGCACUGUGCCAAAGCAAGAUCUCAGAAUACUCACAAUGACCCUGUGAGGAAGGGGGAACCAGACCCUCUCCCUUGGACAGACAAAGGGGCUGGUGCCUGCAGGAGUCCCUCAGCCCCCACUGGGGGAUCAGUGGCACAAACAAUCCCCACAGCCAGCGGGCCGCACUGAAGGCACCACCUAAGGGAACAUUAUUUCUAAGCUAAGUUCCUUAUAAACCAUCAAGGAGAGGACCUGCCUCUUUGAAAGGAACUCCA
This is a long non-coding RNA of Lutra lutra (Eurasian river otter), 3171 nucleotides long. RefSeq lists it as uncharacterized. NCBI's taxonomy places the organism in Eukaryota, Metazoa, Chordata, Mammalia, Carnivora, Mustelidae. The transcript is spliced from 3 exons. The record is from RefSeq and is a predicted model, not a curated record.